UUCAGUAGAGAAUGAAUUCACUGAAUGUGAUCAAUAGAGAGAACUUGAAUGAAAGUUUUACUUACAUGUCAAUCAGGAUCUCUCAAGUUGGAAUAGUGCAAAUUAGUCCUAGACCUGAGACACAACGAGUUGUCUCAUGGAAACGUCGUGGAUGGGAAGGAAGUGCUGAGGUUUCAUACCAAAAAAAGAAACAAAAAGGGUUGCAGGCUAAGGAGAACGGGAGGGAAGAGGUAAAGAGAAGUAAAAAGAAGAAAGAAAAAGAAAGGAGGAGGAGGAGGAUUGUAGGCCAGAGAGAACAAGAGGGAAGAGAUAAAGAAAAGUAAAAAAAAAAGAAGGAGAAUUGUAGACCAGGGAGCAAAACAAAAAAUGAAGGAGGUGCAUGCUAGCGAGAGCGAAAGGGAAGAGGAAAAGCAAAUAAAAAAUAACUUACAGCUGUCAGCAUUUAAAUGGUUUGGGAUGCUGAGCUAGACUGCUGACCUGACACCCUCGUCAAGGCCGUCUCUGAGAUUUUGAGGGCCCUGUGCUAAACUUAAAUUGGGGCCUCACAUAAUCUAAUACAAAAAUACUUAUAACUAAAGGCUCAUUUGGUACACCGUAUUAGACUCAAGAUAGAAGUAAAUAGUCCAUGUCAGUUGUUUGGUGUCAACUUGUAUUAUUUAAUUACCUGACUAUUUUAAACGGAUUGGGCUUUUAAUACUCUCCUUACCUGACUAACUAAUUC
RNAcentral lists this long non-coding RNA (721 nucleotides) under Prunus persica (peach). Its description in RNAcentral is "long non-coding RNA (PPER_LNC004579)". The record is from RNAcentral. Lineage: Eukaryota; Viridiplantae; Streptophyta; Magnoliopsida; Rosales; Rosaceae.